AACGUCGCAAGACCAAAGAGGGGGACCUUCGGGCCUCUUGCCAUCAGAUGUGCCCAGAUGGGAUUAGCUUGUUGGUGAGGUAACGGCUCACCAAGGCGACGAUCCCUAGCUGGUCUGAGAGGAUGACCAGCCACACUGGAACUGAGACACGGUCCAGACUCCUACGGGAGGCAGCAGUGGGGAAUAUUGCACAAUGGGCGCAAGCCUGAUGCAGCCAUGCCGCGUGUAUGAAGAAGGCCUUCGGGUUGUAAAGUACUUUCAGCGGGGAGGAAGGUGUUGUGGUUAAUAACCGCAGCAAUUGACGUUACCCGCAGAAGAAGCACCGGCUAACUCCGUGCCAGCAGCCGCGGUAAUACGGAGGGUGCAAGCGUUAAUCGGAAUUACUGGGCGUAAAGCGCACGCAGGCGGUCUGUCAAGUCGGAUGUGAAAUCCCCGGGCUCAACCUGGGAACUGCAUUCGAAACUGGCAGGCUUGAGUCUUGUAGAGGGGGGUAGAAUUCCAGGUGUAGCGGUGAAAUGCGUAGAGAUCUGGAGGAAUACCGGUGGCGAAGGCGGCCCCCUGGACAAAGACUGACGCUCAGGUGCGAAAGCGUGGG
RNAcentral lists this ribosomal RNA (595 nucleotides) under Salmonella enterica subsp. enterica serovar Enteritidis. Its description in RNAcentral is "bacterial SSU rRNA". It matches the Rfam family "Bacterial small subunit ribosomal RNA", at positions 173 to 765 of the family's 1533-position model. Lineage: Bacteria; Pseudomonadati; Pseudomonadota; Gammaproteobacteria; Enterobacterales; Enterobacteriaceae. The record is from RNAcentral.